GUAUUAUUAGUUAAUGCAAGAUCGACUAUGUCGACUAAAGUUCUAGGUAGAAUAAUGAUGAUGACAAUUUUUUACCUAUAUGUCUUGACCAAGUCUCGUGCCAGCAGUCGCGUAAUACGUGGAAGACUAGUGUUAUUCAUCUUUAUUAGGUUUAAAGGGUACCUAGACGGUAUUUCUAGCCCAAAGUAGGGUACGGAUUUACUAGAGUUUUAUGUGAGGAGGGGAGUACUCGUGGAGUAGAGAUGAAAUUUUGUUAUACUAUGAGGUAACUGGUGGCGGCGAAAGCAACCUUCUAUGUAUAAACUGACGUUGAGGGACGAAGGCUUGGGUAGCAAAUAGGAUUAGAUACCCUAGUAGUCCAAGCAGACAAUUCUGAAUGCCAUAGAUUUAGAUUAUUUUUUGGUCUAUAAAUGAAAGUGUAAGCAUUCCACCCUUAGGGAGUAAAUGUGGGCAAACACAGGAACUGAAAAUCAUUAGACCGUUUUCUGAAACCAGUAGUGAAAGUAUGUUUAUUUUAAAUUUGAUGGGUCCACAAAAAAACCUUACCACAAACUUGAAUAAUUUUUUUAAUUAAUAACAAGCGUUGCACGGCUUGUUCUUUCAGUUAAUGUCGUGGGGAUUUUGGUUACUCCCAUUAAAUUAACGUAAACCCUUACUUUAUUUA
RNAcentral lists this ribosomal RNA (664 nucleotides) under Acarospora sp. EH-2022i. RNAcentral's name for it is "SSU rRNA". It matches the Rfam family "Bacterial small subunit ribosomal RNA", at positions 391 to 1117 of the family's 1533-position model. The record is from RNAcentral. Lineage: Eukaryota; Fungi; Ascomycota; Lecanoromycetes; Acarosporales; Acarosporaceae.